RNAcentral lists this ribosomal RNA (253 nucleotides) under uncultured bacterium. Its description in RNAcentral is "partial 16S ribosomal RNA". It matches the Rfam family "Bacterial small subunit ribosomal RNA", at positions 524 to 776 of the family's 1533-position model. The record is from RNAcentral.
UACGUAGGUGACCAGCGUUGUCCGGAUUUACUGGGCGUAAAGAGCGCGCAGGCGGUCGAUCAAGUCGAGUGUGAAAGCCCCCGGCUCAACUGGGGAGGGUCAUUCGAUACUGAUCGACUCGAAGGCAGGAGAGGGUAGUGGAAUUCCCGGUGUAGUGGUGAAAUGCGUAGAUAUCGGGAGGAACACCAGUGGCGAAGGCGACUACCUGGCCUGUCCUUGACGCUGAGGCGCGAAAGCUAGGGGAGCAAACGGG